RNAcentral lists this ribosomal RNA (276 nucleotides) under uncultured prokaryote. Its description in RNAcentral is "partial 16S ribosomal RNA". It matches the Rfam family "Bacterial small subunit ribosomal RNA", at positions 524 to 800 of the family's 1533-position model. The record is from RNAcentral.
UACGGAGGAUCCGAGCGUUAUCCGGAAUUACUGGGCGUAAAGGGUGCGUAGGUGGUUUCUUAAGUCAGAGGUGAAAGGCUACGGCUCAACCGUAGUAAGCCUUUGAAACUGGGAAACUUGAGUGCAGGAGAGGAGAGUGGAAUUCCUAGUGUAGCGGUGAAAUGCGUAGAUAUUAGGAGGAACACCAGUUGCGAAGGCGGCUCUCUGGACUGUAACUGACACUGAGGCACGAAAGCGUGGGGAGCAAACAGGAUUAGAUACCCUGGUAGUCCCUGA